AUUGAACGCUGGCGGCAGGCCUAACACAUGCAAGUCGAGCGAGCGGCGGACGGGUGAGUAAUGUAUGGGGACUGCCCGAUAGAGGGGGAUAACUACUGGAAACGGUAGCUAAUACCGCAUACUAUCCGAUACCCCAUAUGGGAUUAGCUAGUAGGUGAGGUGAUGGCUCACCUAGGCGACGAUCCCUAGCUGGCCUGAGAGGAUGAUCAGCGCCACUGGGACUUGGAGACGGCCCAGACACAAGGGGAGGAAGGGGAGGGGAAGAUUGCACAAAGGGGGCAAGCCUGGUGCAGGAAUGCAGAGUGUAUGAAGAAGGCCCUAGGGAUGUAAAGUACUUUCAGUCGGGGGAGGUUGACGACAGCAGAAGAAACGGAUAACACCGUGCCAGCAGCCGCGGUAAUUC
This 403-nucleotide ribosomal RNA is filed under the name uncultured bacterium. RNAcentral describes it as "partial 16S ribosomal RNA". It matches the Rfam family "Bacterial small subunit ribosomal RNA", at positions 29 to 526 of the family's 1533-position model. The record is from RNAcentral.